UACCAUGUUUUGGUGGGUGGCGCAGUAUUCUAGUCAAGACCACCAUCUUUGAAGGCGGGCCUAAAAAUCCGUCAAGGGCACACCGAUGAAGUUCCUGGUGCUGGCUGCCGACGCCCAGUCGGGGGUUGGUACUGGGAGUUAAGGAGGGGGGGCGAUCUACAAUGGCAUGUAGGCGUGGACCCUCCCUCCGUGGAGACCCAAGUUCGUGGGAAAGUUCCGCGGCAGGAGCAAAUACUAUGGCUUGGGGUGGAAACCUGCAGUUGGUACUGAGGGUGCUGGCUGCAGUGUAGCCUGCCUUGAGCGGCAGGGGUGGAUGCAGGCGAUAAGCCUAUCACGAUUUUCGCCGAAAAUCGUGGAGUAAGCGGAAACCCCUGUUGCAAAAGAGGCUAGAAGAUGGAUGGGAUUGCCGGGGAAAACCCCUAGACUGUUUACCACGUGUAAGGCUGGCCGGGGAUUAAAGUAUGUGCUAAGUGGUAAUCCAGUCCUGCUACCGGUGACGGCGCAGGGCAGCCUUUAAAGGGAAACCGCCAUGACGGCGACGCAUGGUAGGCUACCGGGAAAACCUACUGGACCUAAGCCAUAACAUUUAUCCGGCCAGUCGCCACCCACCCGUAAUUUUCA
This 621-nucleotide small RNA is filed under the name Moorella thermoacetica ATCC 39073. The record is from RNAcentral. Lineage: Bacteria; Bacillati; Bacillota; Clostridia; Neomoorellales; Neomoorellaceae.